AGACUAUUUUUCGGGGGAAGCUCAGUCGUUUAUCGACCGGUAUCGUGACACCCACGGGGUCGAGCCGAUCUGCAAGGUUUUGCAGGUCGCCCCG
Molecule: non-coding RNA, 94 nt
Organism: Nitrosomonas sp. Is79A3
Lineage: Bacteria; Pseudomonadati; Pseudomonadota; Betaproteobacteria; Nitrosomonadales; Nitrosomonadaceae
Source: Rfam